Molecule: transfer RNA, 73 nt
Filed under: bacterium
Lineage: Bacteria
Description: tRNA-Ala
Rfam family: tRNA
About the family: Transfer RNA (tRNA) molecules are approximately 80 nucleotides in length.
Source: RNAcentral
GGGGCUGUAGCUCAGCUGGGAGAGCGAUACGUUCGCAACGUAUAGGUCGUGGGUUCGAAUCCCAUCAGCUCCA